GAUGAACGCUGGCGGCGUGCCUAAUACAUGCAAGUCGAGCGAACGGACGAUAAGCUUGCUUCUCUGAUGUUAGCGGCGGACGGGUGAGUAACACGUGGAUAACCUACCUAUAAGACUGGGAUAACUUCGGGAAACCGGAGCUAAUACCGGAUGAUAUUUUGAACCGCAUGGUUCAAUAGUGAAAUACGGUCUUGCUGUCACUUAUAGAUGGAUCCGCGCUGCAUUAGCUAGUUGGUAAGGUAACGGGUUAUCAAGGCAACGAUGCCUAGCCGACCUGAGAGAGUGAUAGGCCACACGAGAACGGAGACACGGUCCAGACUCCUACGGGAGGGAGCAGUAGGGAAUCUUCCGCAAUGGGCGAAAGCCUGACGGAGCAACGCCGCGUGAGUGAUGAAGGUCUUCGGAUCGUAAAACUCUGUUAUUAGGGAAGAACAUAUGUGUAAGUAACUGUGCACAUCUUGACGGUACCUAAUCAGAAAGCCACGGCUAACUACGUG
This 497-nucleotide ribosomal RNA is filed under the name uncultured bacterium. RNAcentral's name for it is "partial 16S ribosomal RNA". It matches the Rfam family "Bacterial small subunit ribosomal RNA", at positions 28 to 507 of the family's 1533-position model. The record is from RNAcentral.